Molecule: ribosomal RNA, 253 nt
Filed under: uncultured bacterium
Lineage: Bacteria
Description: partial 16S ribosomal RNA
Rfam family: Bacterial small subunit ribosomal RNA
Source: RNAcentral
UACGUAGGGGGCAAGCGUUGUCCGGAUUUACUGGGCGUAAAGGGCGCGUAGGCGGCUUGACAAGUCACUUGUGAAAUCUCCGGGCUUAACUCGGAACGGCCAAGUGAAACUGUCAUGCUAGAGUGCAGAAGGGGCAAUCGGAAUUCUUGGUGUAGCGGUGAAAUGCGUAGAUAUCAAGAGGAACACCUGAGGUGAAGACGGGUUGCUGGGCUGACACUGACGCUGAGGCGCGAAAGCCAGGGGAGCAAACGGG